GUUUGAUCAUGGCUCAGGAUGAACACUGGCGUCGUGCUUAACACAUGCAAGUCGAGCGAAGCGCUUAAGUUUGAUUCUUCGGAUGAAGACUCUUGUGACUGAGCGGCGGACGGGUGAGUAACGCGUGGGUAACCUGCCUCAUACAGGGGGAUAACAGUUAGAAAUGACUGCUAAUACCGCAUAAGACCACAGUACUGCAUGGUACAGUGGUAAAAACUCCGGUGGUAUGAGAUGGACCCGCGUCUGAUUAGGUAGUUGGUGAGGUAACGGCCCACCAAGCCGACGAUCAGUAGCCGACCUGAGAGGGUGACCGGCCACAUUGGGACUGAGACACGGCCCAGACUCCUACGGGAGGCAGCAGUGGGGAAUAUUGCACAAUGGGCGAAAGCCUGAUGCAGCGACGCCGCGUGAAGGAUGAAGUAUUUCGGUAUGUAAACUUCUAUCAGCAGGGAAGAAAAUGACGGUACCUGACUAAGAAGCCCCGGCUAACUACGUGCCAGCAGCCGCGGUAAUACGUAGGGGGCAAGCGUUAUCCGGAUUUACUGGGUGUAAAGGGAGCGUAGACGGCUGUGCAAGUCUGAAGUGAAAGGCAUGGGCUCAACCUGUGGACUGCUUUGGAAACUGUGCAGCUAGAG
RNAcentral lists this ribosomal RNA (635 nucleotides) under uncultured bacterium. Its description in RNAcentral is "bacterial SSU rRNA". It matches the Rfam family "Bacterial small subunit ribosomal RNA", at positions 11 to 646 of the family's 1533-position model. The record is from RNAcentral.